RNAcentral lists this ribosomal RNA (486 nucleotides) under uncultured Sphingobacteriales bacterium. Its description in RNAcentral is "bacterial SSU rRNA". It matches the Rfam family "Bacterial small subunit ribosomal RNA", at positions 892 to 1382 of the family's 1533-position model. Lineage: Bacteria; Pseudomonadati; Bacteroidota; Sphingobacteriia; Sphingobacteriales. The record is from RNAcentral.
GCUCAGAACUUACAGGAUUGACGGGGCCCGCACAAGCGGUGGAGCAUGUGGUUUAAUUCGAUGAUACGCGAGGAACCUUACCUGGGCUCAAAUGUAUGUUGACGUAUUCUGAAAGGGAUACUUCUUCGGACAAUAUACAAGGUGCUGCAUGGUUGUCGUCAGCUCGUGCCGUGAGGUGUCGGGUUAAGUCCCAUAACGAGCGCAACCCCUAUCAUUAGUUGCCAUCAGGUCAAGCUGGGGACUCUAAUGAAACUGCCUACGCAAGUAGUGAGGAAGGUGGGGAUGACGUCAAAUCAGCACGGCCCUUACGUCCAGGGCUACACACGUGCUACAAUGGCCGGUACAAAGGGCAGCUACCUGGUGACAGGAUGCUAAUCUCAAAAGCCGGUCUCAGUUCGGAUCGGAGUCUGCAACCCGACUCCAUGAAGCUGGAAUCGCUAGUAAUCGCGCAUCAGCCAUGGCGCGGUGAAUACGUUCCCGGGCCUU